CCUACGGGAGGCAGCAGUGAGGAAUAUUGGUCAAUGGUCGGGAGACUGAACCAGCCAAGCCGCGUGAGGGAUGAAGGUACAGAGUAUCGUAAACCUCUUUUGUCAGGGAAUAAAGGCGGGGACGUGUCCCCGGAUGAGUGUACCUGAAGAAAAAGCAUCGGCUAACUCCGUGCCAGCAGCCGCGGUAAUACGGAGGAUGCGAGCGUUAUCCGGAUUUAUUGGGUUUAAAGGGAGCGUAGGGGGGCGUUAAAGUCAGCUGGAAAAUCGCGCGGCUCAACCGAGCACCGCAGUUGAAACUGGACGCAUUGAGUUCACAACAGGCAGGCGGAAUUCGUGGUGUAGCGGUGAAAUGCAUAGAUAUCACGAGGAACCCCGAUUGCGAAGGCAGCCUGCCGGGGUGCGACUGACGCUGAGGCUCGAAGGUGCGGGUAUCAAACAGGAUUAGAUACCCCAGUAGUC
RNAcentral lists this ribosomal RNA (459 nucleotides) under uncultured bacterium. RNAcentral's name for it is "partial 16S ribosomal RNA". It matches the Rfam family "Bacterial small subunit ribosomal RNA", at positions 338 to 795 of the family's 1533-position model. The record is from RNAcentral.